GCCUCAUUGGCUCAGUGGCAAAGCGUCUGUCUAGUAAACAGAAGGUCGCUGGUUCGAUUCCAGCAUGAGGCA
Molecule: transfer RNA, 72 nt
Filed under: Pristionchus pacificus
Lineage: Eukaryota; Metazoa; Nematoda; Chromadorea; Rhabditida; Neodiplogasteridae
Description: tRNA-Thr (AGT) (tRNA-Thr-AGT-4-1)
Rfam family: tRNA
About the family: Transfer RNA (tRNA) molecules are approximately 80 nucleotides in length.
Source: Rfam by way of RNAcentral